RNAcentral lists this ribosomal RNA (468 nucleotides) under uncultured bacterium. RNAcentral describes it as "partial 16S ribosomal RNA". It matches the Rfam family "Bacterial small subunit ribosomal RNA", at positions 28 to 507 of the family's 1533-position model. The record is from RNAcentral.
GACGAACGCUGGCGGCGUGCUUAACACAUGCAAGUCGAACGGAAAGGCCCUGCUUUUGUGGGGUGCUCGAGUGGCGAACGGGUGAGUAACACGUGAGUAACCUGCCCUUGACUUUGGGAUAUCUUCAGGAAACUGGGGCUAAUACCGGAUAGGAGCUCCUGCUGCAUGGUGGGGGUUGGAAAGUUUCGGCGGUUGGGGAUGGACUCGCGGCUUAUCAGCUGGUUGGUGGGGUAGUGGCUUACCAAGGCUUUGACGGGUAGCCGGCCUGGGAGGGUGACCGGCCACAUGGGGACUGAGAUACGGACCAGACUCCUACGGGAGGCAGCAGUGGGGAAUAUUGCACAAUGGGCGGAAGCCUGAUGCAGCAACGCCGCGAGCGGGAUGCCGGCCUUCGGGUUGUAAACCGCUUUCGCAUGUGACGAAGCGUGAGUGACGGUAAUGGGUAAAGAAGCACCGGCUAACUACGUG